CCUUGACAUCCACGGAAUUUGGCAGAGAUGCCUUAGUGCCUUCGGGAACCGUGAGACAGGUGCUGCAUGGCUGUCGUCAGCUCGUGUUGUGAAAUGUUGGGUUAAGUCCCGCAACGAGCGCAACCCUUAUCCUUUGUUGCCAGCGGCUCGGCCGGGAACUCAAAGGAGACUGCCGGUGAUAAACCGGAGGAAGGUGGGGAUGACGUCAAGUCAUCAUGGCCCUUACGGCCAGGGCUACACACGUGCUACAAUGGCGCAUACAAAGAGAAGCGACCUCGCGAGAGCAAGCGGACCUCAUAAAGUGCGUCGUAGUCCGGAUUGGAGUCUGCAACUCGACUCCAUGAAGUCGGAAUCGCUAGUAAUCGUAGAUCAGAAUGCUACGGUGAAUACGUUCCCGGGCCUUGUACACACCGCCCGUCACACCAUGGGAGUGGGUUGCAAAAGAAGUAGGUAGCUUAACCUUCGGGAGGGCGCUUACCACUUUGUGAUUCAUGACUGGGGUGAAGUCGUAACAAGGUAGGCGUAGAUGA
RNAcentral lists this ribosomal RNA (530 nucleotides) under uncultured bacterium. Its description in RNAcentral is "bacterial SSU rRNA". It matches the Rfam family "Bacterial small subunit ribosomal RNA", at positions 979 to 1509 of the family's 1533-position model. The record is from RNAcentral.